GACGUUGAUAGGCUGGGUGUGGAAGCGUAGUAAUACGUUAAGCUAACCAGUACUAAUUGCCCGUGCGGCUUGUCCCU
RNAcentral lists this ribosomal RNA (77 nucleotides) under Glaciimonas immobilis. RNAcentral describes it as "Oxalobacteraceae bacterium Cr9-30 Bacterial large subunit ribosomal RNA". It matches the Rfam family "Bacterial large subunit ribosomal RNA", at positions 2849 to 2925 of the family's 2925-position model. The record is from Rfam by way of RNAcentral. Lineage: Bacteria; Pseudomonadati; Pseudomonadota; Betaproteobacteria; Burkholderiales; Oxalobacteraceae.